AUUCAUUUGCUUUCAAUAUCUGAAGGUCAUACAACAGGCUGGGAUGGGGAAUGCAGCUGUCAUUAAAAAUUUACUUUCUUUUUGUACUCCAAUUAAACUUACAGAUAAUAGCAGAUAAAAACAGCCACGCGAUUGCUUUCCUGAUGAAGGCACUGAUUUAUUGAUACUGAACUUGGCUUCAGUAUAGUUACACUCGGGAUGAAUUUGCAAAGGUUUGCUUCCAUUUUAGGAAGAAAAAAAUUGUCAGCUGUAAAAACAGCAGGAUGUGAUACUGUCCUUGAUGAGGAUUUUUCUUGGCAGAAUGGUAAACACGUCUUGCAAGUCCAUGACAUGCCACACUCCCCUUGAACACACGGUCAGCUUGAGCUCUCACAUAAAAUUAGGAACCUGGUCCUCUCCACUCCCUCUGCAGUCAAAGGAAAAGGGUGGAGGGUUGGAUCCACCUGAGGAGAUGGCAGGACUGAGCUUGGCCCUUCUGUAUUUUUCAGGAUCUGUGAGUUUUGUAACGUUAAAAGCGAAAUCCUUCUUGAGGAAUCACCGCUGCUCAACCUGCAGAAAAAACAUUAAGCACCAAAGAUCACUGGAAGCCACUUUUCAAAGAAGUCAUGGUGUAUGGAGACAGAUCCAUUGGAAUGAACUGAGUGUUGAAAUGGAAGAAAGAACUGACUCUUUUCUUGCUGUUUCAAAGGCCAGGAAUUCCCAGAGAACUCCAGUAAUUUUAAAGUAAGUGGGUUAGACUGAGGAUAUUUGAACUUCUCUUUCUAAGGCUCUCUCUUUCUAUGAAGUUCUCCAUCUCUUGUUGCAAUAUUGUUUGUUUUGUCCCCUCAAAACUAAUCAUAGCAGUGAUACUAGGGAUCGAUCUUCAACACUGGAUCAAAGGGAUUGUUUUACUGUGACAUUCAUUGCUGGUGAGAUUAGACUUCACAGCAGUUACCCACCCAACAACAGCCUCUGCUCAUCACUUGGGUGCAGUACGUUCAGAAACUGUUGAUAAUUUGGUAAUUGAGUCACUACAGAGCAUGUGUCUCUUUUGGUUAGGAAUGUAAGAAGUCACAAAAAAG
This 1061-nucleotide long non-coding RNA is filed under the name Phasianus colchicus (ring-necked pheasant). RNAcentral describes it as "lncRNA (ENSPCLG00000006467.1)". The record is from RNAcentral. Lineage: Eukaryota; Metazoa; Chordata; Aves; Galliformes; Phasianidae.